CCUACGGGUGGCAGCAGUGAGGAAUAUUGGUCAAUGGACGUGAGUCUGAACCAGCCAAGUAGCGUGAAGGAUGACUGCCCUAUGGGUUGUAAACUUCUUUUAUAUGGGAAUAAAAUGUUCCACGUGUGGGCUUUCGUAUGUUCCCUAUGAAUAAGGAUUGGCUAACUCCGUGCCAGCCGCCCCGGUAAAUCGGAGGAAUCGAGCGUUUUCCGGAUUUUUUGGGUUUAAAGGGAGCGUAGGUGGAUUGUUAAGUCAGUUGUUAAAGUUUGCGGCUCAACCGUAGAAUUGCAGUUGAAACUGGCAGUCUUGAGUACGGUAGAGGUGGGCGGAAUGCGUGGUGUAGCGGUGAAAUGCUUAGAUAUCACGAAGAACUCCGAUUGCGAAGGCAGCUCACUGGAGUGCAACUGACACUGAGGCUCGAAAGUGUGGGUAUCAAACAGGAUUAGAUACCCGAGUAGUC
This 460-nucleotide ribosomal RNA is filed under the name uncultured bacterium. RNAcentral describes it as "partial 16S ribosomal RNA". It matches the Rfam family "Bacterial small subunit ribosomal RNA", at positions 338 to 795 of the family's 1533-position model. The record is from RNAcentral.